UAUAAUAGUUAAAACUUUCAACAACGGAUCUCUUGGUUCUGGCAUCGAUGAAGAACGCAGCGAAAUGCGAUAAGUAAUGUGAAUUGCAGAAUUCAGUGAAUCAUCGAAUCUUUGAACGCACAUUGCGCCCCUUGGUAUUCCGAGGGGCAUGCCCGUUCGAGCGUCAUCAACACUAUCAAGCCUGGCUUGGUAUUGGGCCCUGCCUGUAACACGGCUGGCUUUAAAAUCAGUGGCGGUGCCGCCUGGCUCUAAGCGUAGUAACUUUUCUCGCUAUUGUGCCCGGCGGUUGCUUGCCAACAACCCCUAAUUCAAUAGGUUUGACCUCGGAUCGGGUAGGGAUACCCGCUGAACUUAA
This 355-nucleotide small RNA is filed under the name uncultured fungus. RNAcentral describes it as "eukaryotic LSU rRNA". The stretch from base 13 to 166 matches the Rfam family "5.8S ribosomal RNA". Lineage: Eukaryota; Fungi. The record is from RNAcentral.